GAUGAACGCUGGCGGCGUGCCUAAUACAUGCAAGUCGAACGAAACUUCUUUAUCACCGAGUGCUUGCACUCACCGAUAAAGAGUUGAGUGGCGAACGGGUGAGUAACACGUGGGCAACCUGCCCAAAAGAGGGGGAUAACACUUGGAAACAGGUGCUAAUACCGCAUAACCAUAGUUACCGCAUGGUAACUAUGUAAAAGGUGGCUAUACUACCGCUUUUGGAUGGGCCCGCGGCGCAUUAGCUAGUUGGUAGGGUAAAGGCUUACCAAGGCAAUGAUGCGUAGCCGAAUUGAGAGGUUGAUCGGCCACAUUGGGACUGAGACACGGCCCAAACUCCUAAGGGAGGCAGCAGUAGGGAAUCUUCCACAAUGGGCGAAAGCCUGAUGGAGCAACGCCGCGUGGGUGAAGAAGGUCUUCGGAUCGUAAAACCCUGUUGUUAGAGAAGAAAGUGCGUGAGAGUAACUGUUCACGUUUCGACGGUAUCUAACCAGAAAGCCACGGCUAACUACGU
This 511-nucleotide ribosomal RNA is filed under the name uncultured bacterium. RNAcentral's name for it is "partial 16S ribosomal RNA". It matches the Rfam family "Bacterial small subunit ribosomal RNA", at positions 28 to 506 of the family's 1533-position model. The record is from RNAcentral.